UCCGGCUUAUCACCGGCAGUCUGCUCAGGGUUCCAAACUAAAUGUUGUCAGAGGCAUUCUAGCCCAGGUAAGGUUCUUCGCGUUGCGUCGAAUUAAACCACAUGCUCCACCGCUUGUGCGGGUCCCCGUCAAUUCCUUUGAGUUUCAGUCUUGCGACCGUACUCCCCAGGCGGAAUGCUUAAAGCGUUAGCGACGGCACCCGGGGACUUUAUAACCCCAGACACCAAGCAUUCAUCGUUUAAGGCCAGGACUA
This 253-nucleotide unclassified non-coding RNA is filed under the name uncultured Acidobacteriota bacterium. RNAcentral describes it as "uncultured Acidobacteria bacterium contains 16S-23S intergenic spacer region". Lineage: Bacteria; Pseudomonadati; Acidobacteriota. The record is from RNAcentral.